UCCUUUUGUCCUCUUUUCAAUUGCCUUUAAAUAAAAGAGGUAUUUUCUACUCCUUUGACUUCAAAAUUAAUGGUGUAAGGGCAGGAUGAUGUUAGGAUAGAUCACAGUUUCAAGCAGUGUGGAUUACUAGUUCUAUUGCAAAACUUUAGUAUAUCAAAUCCAAUUGAUCUAAGCAUCUCAUAGCUUAAUGCUUGCUUGCACAAACUGUAGAUAUGUGCUGCAUGUAAAUAUAGCUGCUUGCCUGCUGUUAGCUUUCCUUUCCUUUGAGCAUCUCCUUUCCUGAACUUGCAAAUAUUGUCUACUUGCAAAAGGUUUGGUUUCUCUGAAUAAAAAUUUUUGAUGCUCAAGUUCCAGCACUCUUAGAAAGCUGUAGGAUGGGAUAUUAAUUUAGCCCUCUUUUUCCAUGCUUAGGUAAGGCUUGGUGGUGACUAAAAUUGGUAAGAGGUCAAACCAGAGGCUUAAUAUAUCUUCUUCUUCUUCCAUAACAUUAACAAUUUAGUGUACAUUCAAGAAAACCUUUGACCAUUUUUUAAAAGCGUGCACUUUUUUUUUCUUUCGUUAUUUUGUAGGCUUUUGGUUUGUUUUAUAUAAUUUUCAAUUGUUGGCAACAUCAAUAAAAAAUUUUUUGAUUCUGAAAGGUAAUCGUUACUGAAGCCUAUAUAGAAUAGCAUAUGCUUCCAUCUCAUAUUCUAGUGAGAACAAGUCACCUUAUUAGCAUGGUUCUUUUUCGUGUGCAGUGGUUUGGAAUCCCUGGGAUAAG
Molecule: unclassified non-coding RNA, 760 nt
Filed under: Hevea brasiliensis (rubber tree)
Lineage: Eukaryota; Viridiplantae; Streptophyta; Magnoliopsida; Malpighiales; Euphorbiaceae
Source: RNAcentral